AUACGGAGGGUGCAAGCGUUAUUCUGAAUCACUGGGCGUAAAGGACGCGUAGGCGGGUUGGCAAGUCAGAUGUGAAAUCCUACAGCUUAACUGUAGAACUGCAUUUGAAACUGCUAACCUAGAGUAUGGGAGGGGGAGAUGGAAUUAGUGGUGUAGGGGUAAAAUCCGUAGAUAUCACUAGGAAUACCGAAAGCGAAGGCGAUCUCCUGGAACAUAACUGACGCUAAGGCGUGAAAGCGUGGGGAGCAAACAGGAUUAGAUACCCUAGUAGUCC
RNAcentral lists this ribosomal RNA (274 nucleotides) under uncultured bacterium. RNAcentral describes it as "partial 16S ribosomal RNA". It matches the Rfam family "Bacterial small subunit ribosomal RNA", at positions 523 to 796 of the family's 1533-position model. The record is from RNAcentral.